Molecule: ribosomal RNA, 90 nt
Filed under: Firmicutes bacterium AM59-13
Lineage: Bacteria; Bacillati; Bacillota
Description: partial 16S ribosomal RNA
Rfam family: Bacterial small subunit ribosomal RNA
Source: RNAcentral
GCCGCCGAAGGCAGGUCUGAUAACUGGGGUGAAGUCGUAACAAGGUAGCCGUAUCGGAAGGUGCGGCUGGAUCACCUCCUUUCUAAGGAA